GGCGGCGUGCUUAACACAUGCAAGUCGAGCGAGGAACUUCGGUUCCUAGCGGCGAACGGGUGAGUAACACGUGGGCAACCUGCCCCGAGCUCUGGGAUAACUUCGGGAAACCGGGGCUAAUACCGGAUAUGACACUACUGGACAUCUGGUGGUGUGGAAAGAUUUAUCGGCUUGGGAUGGGCCCGCGGCCUAUCAGCUUGUUGGUGGGGUAACGGCCUACCAAGGCGACGACGGGUAGCCGGCCUGAGAGGGCGAUCGGCCACACUGGGACUGAGACACGGCCCAGACUCCUACGGGAGGCAGCAGUGGGGAAUAUUGCGCAAUGGGCGGAAGCCUGACGCAGCGACGCCGCGUGGGGGAUGAAGGCC
RNAcentral lists this ribosomal RNA (368 nucleotides) under uncultured Frankia sp. Its description in RNAcentral is "bacterial SSU rRNA". It matches the Rfam family "Bacterial small subunit ribosomal RNA", at positions 38 to 416 of the family's 1533-position model. Lineage: Bacteria; Bacillati; Actinomycetota; Actinomycetes; Frankiales; Frankiaceae. The record is from RNAcentral.